UGAGCUUCAAGAGUAUCCCCUCUUACUGUU
Molecule: non-coding RNA, 30 nt
Filed under: Mus musculus (house mouse)
Lineage: Eukaryota; Metazoa; Chordata; Mammalia; Rodentia; Muridae
Source: RNAcentral